CCUACGGGAGGCAGCAGUGAGGAAUAUUGGUCAAUGGGCGCGAGCCUGAACCAGCCAAGUCGCGUGAAGGAUUACUGCCCUACGGGUUGUAAACCUCUUUUAUAAAGGAAUAAAGUCAGGCACGUGUGCCUUUUUGUAUGUUCUUCCUGAAUAAGGCUCGGCUAACUCCGUGCCAGCAGCCGCGGUAAUACGGAGGAUCCAACCUGUUUUCGGAUUUUUUUGGUUUAAAGGGUUGGUAGAUGGGUUGUUAAGUCAGGUGGGAAAGUUUGCGGCUGAACCGUAAAAUUGCAAUUGAUACUGGCAGUCUUGAGUAGAGUUGAGGUGGGCGGAAUGCGUGGUGUAGCGGUGAAAUGCUGAGAUAUCACGAAGAACUCCGAUUGCGAAGGCAGUUCACUGGACUGCAACUGACACUGAGGCUCGAAAGUGUGGGUAUCAAACAGGAUUAGAUACCCCAGUAGUC
Molecule: ribosomal RNA, 460 nt
Filed under: uncultured bacterium
Lineage: Bacteria
Description: partial 16S ribosomal RNA
Rfam family: Bacterial small subunit ribosomal RNA
Source: RNAcentral